RNAcentral lists this ribosomal RNA (448 nucleotides) under uncultured bacterium. RNAcentral's name for it is "bacterial SSU rRNA". It matches the Rfam family "Bacterial small subunit ribosomal RNA", at positions 335 to 799 of the family's 1533-position model. The record is from RNAcentral.
ACUCCUACGGGAGGCAGCAGUGGGAAGUCUUGGACAAUGGGGGCAACCCUGAUCCAGCCAUGCCGCGUGAGUGAUGAAGGCCUUAGGGUCGUAAAGCUCUUUCGCCUGUGAUGAUAAUGACAGUAGCAGGUAAAGAAACCCCGGCUAACUCCGUGCCAGCAGCCGCGGUAAUACGGAGGGGUUAGCGUUGUUCGGAAUUACUGGGGCGUAAAGCGCGCGUAGGCGGAUUAGUCAGUUAGAGGUGAAAUCCCAGGGCUCAACCCUGGAACUGCCUUUAAUACUGCUAGUCUUGAGUUCGAGAGAGGUGAGUGGAAUUCCGAGUGUAGAGGUGAAAUUCGUAGAUAUUCGGAGGAACACCAGUGGCGAAGGCGGCUCACUGGCUCGAUACUGACGCUGAGGUGCGAAAGUGUGGGGAGCAAACAGGAUUAGAUACCCUGGUAGGCUAGCG